AACGGUCUAUACCUGCGGUACCUGCGGAAGGAUCAUUAACGAGUUUUGAAGUGGGAUUGACGCUGGCCUUCCGAGGCAUGUGCUCGUCCUCGCUCAUCCACUCACAACACCUGUGCACUGUUGAGGUGUGGCCCCCCUUUUCAAUGGAGCCGUUCCCCCUUCGAAAGGAGGGGUCGAGCCGGGGUCAGGCCUUCUUCGUCACAAACAACUUGUAAUGUCUAUUCGGAAUGUAAUGCUUCA
Molecule: unclassified non-coding RNA, 240 nt
Filed under: soil metagenome
Description: partial contains 5.8S ribosomal RNA, internal transcribed spacer 2, and large subunit ribosomal RNA
Source: RNAcentral